GGCCCUAUAAUGCAGUAGUUAGCACGUAGAGUUUCUACACUCUAAAGCCCAGGUUCGAACCCUGGUAGGUCCC
Non-coding RNA from Hyaloscypha finlandica, 73 nucleotides. Lineage: Eukaryota; Fungi; Ascomycota; Leotiomycetes; Helotiales; Hyaloscyphaceae. The record is from the annotation of a GenBank genome assembly.